AUUGAAGAAUUUCAACACUGAAGGCUAUCCUAAUUAAAUGUGCACACCUCAUAGUAAUUUCUUUCUUUCCAGAAGGAGGCUACAAGAGAGAACAGCAAAUUAAGAAUGCAUAAAUCUGGAAGCAUUAAAUCAAAGGAAGUAUCAAUCCUGACUUCAUGUUCAGAGCACCAGCUACGGUGGACUUGGAGCUCAUAGAGCUACCUACAAACAUCCCAUGAUUCCAGUUGAAGGCUU
This 234-nucleotide long non-coding RNA is filed under the name Rattus norvegicus (Norway rat). RNAcentral describes it as "long non-coding RNA NONRATT031882". Lineage: Eukaryota; Metazoa; Chordata; Mammalia; Rodentia; Muridae. The record is from RNAcentral.